RNAcentral lists this small nuclear RNA (197 nucleotides) under Cervus hanglu yarkandensis (Yarkand deer). RNAcentral describes it as "U2 spliceosomal RNA (ENSCHYG00000021316.1)". It matches the Rfam family "U2 spliceosomal RNA". From Rfam's summary of the family: U2 is a small nuclear RNA (snRNA) component of the spliceosome (involved in pre-mRNA splicing). Complementary binding between U2 snRNA (in an area lying towards the 5' end but 3' to hairpin I) and the branchpoint sequence (BPS) of the intron results the bulging out of an unpaired adenosine, on the BPS, which initiates a nucleophilic attack at the intronic 5' splice site, thus starting the first of two transesterification reactions that mediate splicing. Lineage: Eukaryota; Metazoa; Chordata; Mammalia; Artiodactyla; Cervidae. The record is from Rfam by way of RNAcentral.
AUCACUUCUCGGCCUUUUGGCUAAGAUAAAGUAUAGUAUUUGUUGUUAUCAGUUUAAAAGGACUGCCAAGUUUUUACCUGUUCCAUGGCUAGCAAUGCAUACACAAUAUUUUUUGCUGUUGUUGUUUUUUUGUUUUUAAGGCAAAAACAUCAAUAGAUACCUUUUGGACCACUUUGAAUGUGAAAUUCUUCCCCUUA